This 125-nucleotide ribosomal RNA is filed under the name Lepisosteus oculatus (spotted gar). Lineage: Eukaryota; Metazoa; Chordata; Actinopteri; Semionotiformes; Lepisosteidae. The record is from RNAcentral.
GCCAGCAGCCAUACAAUAUCACCCUGCAACUCCCAACUGGUAACCCACUGAAGCUAAGCAGGUGUGAGCCUAGCCAGUACUUGGAUGGGAGACCUCCUAGGAAAAAACUAAGGUUGCUGCUGGAA